CGUUCACAGUAUGAAAUAGAAAACACCUUUCCGGGUAAUUUAGCAGUUAGUUGUUAAAGUGGUUACAUAAUUAUUUUUUACUUGUGUAUAUAAAGACGUUCUCCACCGAAUACCAGUUACGUUACUGUUACCCUACAGAUCAUAAUGUGGUCAAUAUUGAUAAUGUUCAGUUGUGUUAUUGGUUGUGUGCAGAGUCAAGCAGUACCUACCUGCCCAUUCGGAAUACCAUUACCUAACAUCAAUUGUGGUCGGGGAUCAAUUCAAGACUGCCCACCUACGUUUUACUGUAACAUUCACGAGACGGAUGAGUUUGCUGUGUGUUGCAUUAAGCUACCUGGAACAUCUGGAUAGUCCGCUAACUUGGUAUGACAAAGAUGCAACAUGUUGUUUGUACAAAGAAAUGAUGUCAUCAUAGAUGUAUGGGUCCUACUUGCUGACCAUUAUUUUGACAGACAUACAUAUAUAAACUUUUUAAUAAACUGGACUUUUCUUAAAUUAACAUUUAAGACGUGUUUCUUCUUGUCAUAGCCGAACCGUGUCAUGCAAUUGAAUCGAUUCUCAAAUGCGACAUACUAUGCAUUAAAUGCCAUGA
Molecule: long non-coding RNA, 592 nt
Organism: Mytilus californianus (California mussel)
Lineage: Eukaryota; Metazoa; Mollusca; Bivalvia; Mytilida; Mytilidae
Exons: 3
Source: RefSeq, a predicted model, not a curated record